GAGUUUGUCGGUUGGUCGGGCUUCACUGUCCGCACUGGCCUGAUGGAUUCCUACCUUCUGAAUAACCAGCAUGCUAUUAAUUUAGUGCGUUGGGGAAGCAGAGCUAUUACCUUGAAAAAAUUAGAGUGCUUAAAGCAGGCUUAUGCUUGAAUAGAUUAGCAUGGAAUAAUAAAAUAGGACGGUGGUCCUGUUUUGUUGGUUUCUGAAUCACCGUA
Molecule: ribosomal RNA, 215 nt
Filed under: Glomeromycotina sp. MIB 8822
Lineage: Eukaryota; Fungi; Glomeromycota
Description: partial small subunit ribosomal RNA
Rfam family: Eukaryotic small subunit ribosomal RNA (bases 47-215)
Source: RNAcentral